RNAcentral lists this small RNA (525 nucleotides) under Histoplasma ohiense. RNAcentral describes it as "hypothetical lncRNA". The record is from RNAcentral. Lineage: Eukaryota; Fungi; Ascomycota; Eurotiomycetes; Onygenales; Ajellomycetaceae.
CUACAACCAUCUCUUACAAUUUGAAGUACGCACGUAGGAUGUUAAGAAGGUAGCAAUCUCUAUUAUUCAAAGCUAAUCACUGAUCUUCUAAUAUCUACAGAUAUCAGCAAGCAUUAUAUAGAUAACCAUCACACACUACAGCUAUCUAUGAUACUGUGUGCUAUAUCCCUCCUCAUUAAUUCUGGUGUGUUCUGUGUUCUUCUAUCAUCAUAUAGCUAUUUUCUAAUAUAGAUAUCUCUGUUGCAUCUAUUACAAUUAUCUCUCUUCUUCAAAGAUCUGAUCUUCAGAGCUUCUUACUGCAAUGUGUGAAGUUUGUAACAUGUGCUGCAUGAUUAAUAUUGUAUAGAGUUCACAGAAUCAGACUGAAUUAAUUGUUGAGAUUAAUUUCAAAAUGUUGCUGUUUCAGAAGAAUGUUUUUUUAUCUUCAGUGUCAUUGCAGUUCAAUCAUGAUUUAGACACAACUUCUGACCUCUUUUCUUUGACUUUUACAUUCAAAAAUCAUACUCUAACAAAAUCAUCACCACC